Molecule: ribosomal RNA, 253 nt
Filed under: uncultured bacterium
Lineage: Bacteria
Description: partial 16S ribosomal RNA
Rfam family: Bacterial small subunit ribosomal RNA
Source: RNAcentral
UACGUAGGGGGCUAGCGUUGUCCGGAAUCAUUGGGCGUAAAGAGCGUGUAGGCGGCUCGGUAAGUCCGCUGUGAAAGUCCAGGGCUCAACCCUGGAAUGCCGGUGGAAACUGUCGGGCUAGAGUCCGGAAGAGGCGAGUGGAAUUCCUGGUGUAGCGGUGAAAUGCGCAGAUAUCAGGAGGAACACCAAUGGCGAAGGCAGCUCGCUGGGACGGUACUGACGCUGAGACGCGAAAGCGUGGGGAGCAAACAGG